CCUCCCACGAACUCCCGUAGGAGUCUGGGCCGCGUCGACGAAGGGACCAGCGUUGCUGGUUCUGGAUGAGUGGCGAACGGGUGAGUAACACGUGAGUAACCUGCCCCCUUCUUCUGGAUAACCGCAUGAAAGUGUGGCUAAUACGGGAGUAUUCUGCGCCUGCUGCAUGGUGGGUAGUGGGAAACGAUGGCGCCGUUUGGGUGUUUUUGGUGGGGGAUGGGCUCGCGGCCUAUCAGCUUGUUGGUGGGGUAGAUGGCCUACCAAGGCGGUGACGGGUAGCCGGCCUGGAGAGGGUGGACGGUCACACUGGGACUGAGACACGGCCCGAGACUCCUACGGG
RNAcentral lists this ribosomal RNA (340 nucleotides) under uncultured Actinomyces sp. RNAcentral's name for it is "bacterial SSU rRNA". It matches the Rfam family "Bacterial small subunit ribosomal RNA", at positions 61 to 345 of the family's 1533-position model. The record is from RNAcentral. Lineage: Bacteria; Bacillati; Actinomycetota; Actinomycetes; Actinomycetales; Actinomycetaceae.